This 1799-nucleotide long non-coding RNA is filed under the name Gallus gallus (chicken). Its description in RNAcentral is "lncRNA (ENSGALG00010005049.1)". The record is from RNAcentral. Lineage: Eukaryota; Metazoa; Chordata; Aves; Galliformes; Phasianidae.
CUGAGAGGUGCCCCUCGGACCUCAGAGAGUGGUGACACACUGGAACAGGUUGCCCAAGGAGGUUGUGGAUGUCCCAUCCCUGGAGGCAUUCAAGGCCAGGCUGGAUGUGGCUCUGAGCAGCCUGGUCUGGUGGUUGGUGACCCUGCGCAUAGCAGGGGAGUUGAAACUCGAUGAUCAUUAUGGUCCUUUUUAACCCAGGGCAUUCUAUGGUUCUGUGAUUUUAUGACACAGCAGGUGUGGGAGGAGAUGUGUGGCUCUUCCUAUAUGCAUGGAGAUGAGCUUCCUCCCAUGUGUGUGUUUUUAAUGAGGGAGCCUGAAUAAGUGAGGGAACCCAAAUUCUGCCCCUUUUAGACUGUGUGGGCUGGCUGAGCAAGUUGAGGUCAAUAAAUGAGCAGGAAAUAGCUGAAGAAAAGAUUUUGCUCAUUGAAUUCUGUCGCAUUACAAGCAUUUUUAUUUUACGAUCUCUUUUAUUGCCUUUGGAUGUAUGGCAAGUACGUAUCUCCCAAGGACUCGGCCGCCGUGCUCACAGCGGGCUCUGCAGCCACCGAGGGGAGGUGCCCCUGGCAGAGCCUGCAGCUUUCAACUGGCGGCAACCCCAAGCAGUCAUGGGAGCCACGGUAUGAGUAUGUCCAUACAAAACAAUCCAUGCUCUAGGUGCAACCCAUACUGUGGCCUUCACUCUUCCAAAGGAUAGGUUGCAAGGAUUUUUCAUCUUCUUCCCCUGUUGUACAAUUUCCCUGAUGAAAGACUCCUUGGGGAGUUAGGAAGGAUGUGAAGGAUGGCGGGUCGCUCCAGGCUGCCAUCACACAGCCACAGGGAACUGUUUGUCAUGACUUCAGUUAUUUGGUAUCAGUUCCUCUUUAUACAAGGAUAUUGUGAAGCAAGGUCGCUGUUCUUCAUGCACAAAGCCCAUUUACAUUACAGAAAUACAAAAAUCCUUGGGUGAAGAAGAGUGCAUCACUUGCUAGCAAUGCACUUCAGCAGAACAAAUGAAGUUUUAUUCUUAGCACUAAAUCAGCAAUAGGCCUUCAGGAAUCAAAACAUAUAAAACCUGGAUAUAUCUUAAGAGAUUCCCUGUGUAUAUGAAAUUUUUCUGUUUUCUAUUUUUUUUUUUUUUAAGAUUUUUAAAUCUAGAUUAGAUAUCAUUGUGACAGGAAAGUUUUGUGCUUUCAGCUUUUAUUGGCUCAUGCUCGAAAUGCAUGGUUCACAAAACUGAAUAGGCUUGAACAAGUAGUGAGAAUUCCCAUGUUGGCAAAGCUGAGUCUAAAAGCCACAAGCUCAUUCUACAUGACUGAUAUGAAUGAAAACAUAAUUCUGAUUGAAUUAUGCCUUUGUUUUUAUAUACAUCAGGAAGUUCACACCUACUGUCAUUCAUACCAUCCAUAAGCUAUUUGUGAUUGUAAGCCAAUCGUUCUGCUGCGUUGUGUGCUGUACAUAAGCUGACCCUGCCUGUAAAUAAUCCUCCAUAUGUAGAAAACCUUCUUAUGAAGAAAUAUUGCCUGAAGAUGUGAGUGAAAUCUCAGACUUGUGGAAAUCAGCAGCAACAGCUCCUUCAGUUCUGUGGAAACCCAGAUAUCACCCUCUCCAGCCUGUUUUUUCACAGAUAAUGGCUAUGGUUGGAUUGGAGAGUUGCUGGUGGGGCUGUGCUGAGCUGAGUGUCACCUCUUCUCUUUUGGUCCACUUUGUGUUGUACCAGAGUGUUUGAUUUGUAGUUUCUUUGAUGUAGAGCUGAGCAUUCGGGAUAUUUUGGCUUUGUGAGAGGCUUCUAUUUUUUCAAUAAAAGUCAGACUAAUUUUAAA